CAAUAGCGUAUAUUAAAGUUGUUGCGGUUAAAAAGCUCGUAGUUGGAUUUCUGCUGAGGACGAUCGGUCCGCCCUCUGGGUGAGUAUCUGGCUCGGCCUUGGCAUCUUCUUGGAGAACGUUACUGCACUUGACUGUGUGGUGCGGUAUCCAGGACUUUUACUUUGAGGAAAUUAGAGUGUUUCAAGCAGGCGCACGCCUUGAAUACAUUAGCAUGGAAUAAUAAGAUAGGACCUUGGUUCUAUUUUGUUGGUUUCUAGAGCUGAGGUAAUGAUUAAUAGGGAUAGUUGGGGGCAUUCGUAUUUAACUGUCAGAGGUGAAAUUCUUGGAUUUGUGAAAGACGGACUACUGCGAAAGCAUUUGCCAAGGAUGUUUUCAUUGA
RNAcentral lists this ribosomal RNA (380 nucleotides) under uncultured eukaryote. RNAcentral describes it as "partial 18S ribosomal RNA". It matches the Rfam family "Eukaryotic small subunit ribosomal RNA", at positions 592 to 976 of the family's 1831-position model. The record is from RNAcentral.